AGUUUAUGUGCUACUCCCUCCGUCCCAUAAUAUUAAAACCUAGGACUGGAUAGGACGUUUCAUAGUACAAUGACUCAGAGUCAUUGUACUAUGAAACGUCCUAUCCAGUCCUAGGUUUUAACAUUAUGGGACGGAGGGAGUAGUCUCAACCUAUAUAAACU
RNAcentral lists this microRNA precursor (161 nucleotides) under Oryza sativa (Asian cultivated rice). Its description in RNAcentral is "miR1436 stem-loop (osa-MIR1436)". The record is from miRBase by way of RNAcentral. Lineage: Eukaryota; Viridiplantae; Streptophyta; Magnoliopsida; Poales; Poaceae.